UCUGGCGACGGCAGCUGUAUUAGCUAACUUCUUAAAAGCUUUAUAUUUUAGAAGGUGGAAGACCUGGAUGCUUCAUACUUUUUAUUUAGAUGCUUCAUGUUACAAGUUUCCUUCAGUCACAUGUCUAAUGUCCUUGACCUCAUUUUCAUGGUUCAGUGACUACUUGAAAAAAGAUUAAGAUUUUUUGUAAUGUGAAAUUCUCUCUUAUCAUAAGUAAAAGCCUUAGGAUAACCAUGUUUGGUAUGUGCGUAGCUUGCAAGGUUCUCAUGCCCAUCAGACAGUGUUCACUUGACCUUGACCAUUUCAGGGAUCAGUGAAUAAGGUUAAGUUUUGGUGGUCAAAUCCACAUCUCAGAUACUAUAAGCAAUAGGUCGAGUUUAUUCGGUGUAUGGAAGCACUGUAAGGUGUACAUGUCCAACUGGUAGGUGUCAUCUGACCUUGACCUCAUUUUCAUGGUUCAGUGGUAAUAGUUCAGUUUUUGUGUUUUGGUCUUUUUUUCUUAUGCUGUAUGCAAUAGGUCUACUAUAUUUGGUGUAUGGUAUGAUUGUAAGGUGUACAUGUCUAGCUGGCAGGCAUCAUCUGACCUUGACCUCAUUUUCAUGGUUCAGUGGUCAAAGUUAAGUUUUUGAGUUGUUUUUUUUUCUAAUACUAUAUGCAAUAGGUCAAUUAUGUUUGGUGUAUGGAAAUAUUUUAUGAUCUUUAUAUCAGUUGCGCAGGUUUUAUUUGACUUUGACCUAAUUUUCACAGUUCAUUGCUCAGUGUUAAAGUUUGUGUUUUGUUCUUUUUUUUCAAACUACAUGUAUAAGCAAUAAGUCAGCUAUAUUUAUUGUAUGGAAAAACUGUUAGCUGUACAUGUCUACCUGGCAUGGUUCAUCUGACCUUGACCUCAUUUUCAUGGUUCAUUGGUUAAUGUUAAGUUUAUGUGACAGUUGAAAUACAGCUUUAUCUUUAGGACUAUCAACAUAAUAUCAAUG
Molecule: long non-coding RNA, 974 nt
Filed under: Mytilus galloprovincialis (Mediterranean mussel)
Lineage: Eukaryota; Metazoa; Mollusca; Bivalvia; Mytilida; Mytilidae
Source: RNAcentral